RNAcentral lists this ribosomal RNA (466 nucleotides) under uncultured bacterium. RNAcentral's name for it is "SSU rRNA". It matches the Rfam family "Bacterial small subunit ribosomal RNA", at positions 26 to 518 of the family's 1533-position model. The record is from RNAcentral.
AGGACUAACGCUGGCGGCGUGCCUAACACAUGCAAGUCGAACGGGGUAGCAAUACCCAGUGGCAGACGGGUGAGUAACACGUGGUCAACCUACCUCUAUGUGGGGGAUAACUAGCCGAAAGGUUAGCUAAUACCGCAUACGAUCGCUUUGGGGCAUCCCUAGGCGAUGAAAGGAGCAAUCCGCAUAGAGAGGGGACUGCGUCCCAUUAGUUAGUUGGUGGGGUAACGGCCUACCAAGACUCCGAUGGGUAGCUGGCUUGAGAGAGCGACCAGCCACACUGGAACUGAGACACGGUCCAGACUCCUAUGGGAGGCAGCAGUGAGGAAUUUUCCGCAAUGGGCGAAAGCCUGACGGAGCGACGCCGCGUGUGGGAAGAAGGCCUUCGGGUCGUAAACCACUGUCGAAGGGGACGAUAAUGACGGUACCCUUGGAGGAAGCCCGGCUAACGUACGCGCCAGCACGCCGC